This is a long non-coding RNA of Oncorhynchus keta (chum salmon), 2021 nucleotides long. RefSeq lists it as uncharacterized. The record is from RefSeq and is a predicted model, not a curated record. NCBI's taxonomy places the organism in Eukaryota, Metazoa, Chordata, Actinopteri, Salmoniformes, Salmonidae. The transcript has 3 exons.
AAUAAUAAUAAUAAUAAUAAUAAUAAUAAGUCACUGUUUGUUAAGGUAGUUAUAGACAGUACAGCAACAAUAAUAAUAAUAAUAAUAAUAAUAAUAAUAAGUCACUGUUUGUUAAGGUAGUUAUAGACAGUACAGUAACACAAUUAUUUGUAUUCACUAAAAGUAGGAUAUUUAUUUUCUUUCAAUCUGUUCUUUUCUAAAUGUAUCUGAGAAUAUAGACAGAAGGGCUAAAAUGGACAUGAUUGAUCUGAGGGGAAAUUAUUGAUCCAUUCAGAAAGGUUUUUUGCAUCAAGUAAUUGAUGUUAUAUUAUGUAAAGUAGACUAGGUUAUAAUGUAUAGUAGUGGGUUGUUAGUGAUAUGUUAUAUUAUGUAAAGUAGACUAGGUUAUAAUAUAUAGUAGUGGGUUGUUAGUGAUAUGUAGAUGUUAUAUUAUGUAAAGUAGGCUAGGUUAUAAUGUAUAGUAGUGGGUUGUUAGUGAUAUGUUAUAUUAUGUAAAGUAGACUAGGUUAUAAUGUAUAGUAGUGGGUUGUUAGUGAUAUGUUAUAUUAUGUAAAGUAGACUAGGUUAUAAUGUAUAGUAGUGGGUUGUUAGUGAUAUGUUAUAUUAUGUAAAGUAGACUAGGUUAUAAUGUAUAGUAGUGGGUUGUUAGUGAUAUAUAGAUGUUAUAUUAUGUAAAGUAGACUAGGUUAUAAUGUAUAGUAGUGGUUUGUUAGUGAUAUGUAGAUGUUAUAUUAUGUAAAGUAGACUAGGUUAUAAUGUAUAGUAGUGGUUUGUUAGUGAUAUGUAGAUGUUAUAUUAUGUAAAGUAGACUAGGUUAUAAUGUAUAGUAGUGGGUUGUUAGUGAUAUGUAGAUGUUAUAUUAUGUAAAGUAGACUAGGUUAUAAUGUAUAGUAGUGGGUUGUUAGUGAUAUGUAGAUGUUAUAUUAUGUAAAGUAGACUAGGUUAUAAUGUAUAGUAGUGGGUUGUUAGUGAUAUGUAGAUGUUAUAUUAUGUAAAGUAGACUAGGUUAUAAUGUAUAGUAGUGGGUUGUUAGUGAUAUGUAGAUGUUAUAUUAUGUAAAGUAGACUAGGUUAUAAUGUAUAGUAGUGGGUUGUUAGUGAUAUGUUAUAUUAUGUAAAGUAGACUAGGUUAUAAUGUAUAGUAGUGGGUUGUUAGUGAUAUGUUAUAUUAUGUAAAGUAGACUAGGUUAUAAUGUAUAGUAGUGGGUUGUUAGUGAUAUGUUAUAUUAUGUAAAGUAGACUAGGUUAUAAUGUAUAGUAGUGGGUUGUUAGUGAUAUGUAGAUGUUAUAUUAUGUAAAGUAGACUAGGUUAUAAUGUAUAGUAGUGGGUUGUUAGUGAUAUGUAGAUGUUAUAUUAUGUAAAGUAGACUAGGUUAUAAUGUAUAGUAGUGGGUUGUUAGUGAUAUGUAGAUGUUAUAUUAUGUAAAGUAGACUAGGUUAUAAUGUAUAGUAGUGGGUUGUUAGUGAUAUGUAGAUGUUAUAUUAUGUAAAGUAGACUAGGUUAUAAUGUAUAGUAGUGGGUUGUUAGUGAUAUGCAGAUCAAGGUCUAUACCUCGGCUAUAACCUACAUAUCAUAGAUGACCAGCCUAAACCUGUUCAGAUCAGUUCACAUAAUGUUAUAGUCCUUCCAGUAGCAGGACAGAGAAUGUACUGUAUAUAACCUACAUAUCAUAGAUGACCAGCCUAAACCUGUUCAGAUCAGUUCACAUAAUGUUAUAGUCCUUCCAGUAGCAGGACAGAGCAUCUACACUAUAUAGUCAAAAGUAUGUGGACAACCCUUCAAAUUAGUGGAUUCGGCUAUUUCGUUGCUGACAGGUGUAUAAAAUCAAGCACACUGUCAUGCAAUCUCCAUAGGCAAACAAUGGUGGCAACAGUUUGGGGAAUGCCAUUUUCUGUUUCAGCUUGACAAUGUCCCCGUCCACAAAGUGAGGUCAAUACAGAAAUAGCUUCUCAAGAUCGGUGUGGGAGAACUUGACUGGCCUGCACAGUGCCCUGACCUCAACCCCAUCAAACACCUUUGGG